This 152-nucleotide transfer RNA is filed under the name Luminiphilus sp. Its description in RNAcentral is "tRNA-Pro". Lineage: Bacteria; Pseudomonadati; Pseudomonadota; Gammaproteobacteria; Cellvibrionales; Halieaceae. The record is from RNAcentral.
GGAUGCGUACAACAAUGGUACAACAAUUAGGGGCUUAAAUUGGCUAUUAAGACGCGCUACAGGCCCUAUUAAUGCUAUAUUUUUAUUAUCGUUGUUGCUUAGUGGACUUCCUUCGGGAGGAAGGGGUCGGAGGUUCAAAUCCUCUCACACCG